GAAACACGCCAAAGAUCUAAAAUCCUAGCUAAGACCCUAGGGCCCCCAAAUCCUGAUAUUUACCGGCAUACACCUAAAUGAAGUGCUUUUGUAAUUCUUAAAAGGGUGCAAAAAAAGGAGAGGAUAAGAAAAGCAAAAGAAGAAGGACUGCCUGUUCCUAAGUCAAGGUGUAAGUUCAUCAAAAUAACAGAAUGUUAAGCAGUGCUGGAAAAGUCCAGCAGCACUGCAACCAGGAAUUUUUUACAAAAUAUCCCAGCAGGAAAUUUUCUUGCAUCUUACCAUCUUAUACUGGAAUGCCAUAUCACUUACCUGUUGUUAAUUUUAAGCGUUUUGCAAUUUGAGGUUAUUUUGAUGCGAAAUUGAAGUUAAUCACAAUUAAUGUGCGGCCCCAUACUGUACAUUCUCUGAAGUCUACAUAUAUGCAGGAAGUGUUAUAUUUGCCUUACACAGGGAAUUUUUAUUUUUCGAUUUUGCUGCCAGGAAGAUAAAUAUAUUUUCUACGCCUGAUGUUAGGUAUAGUGUUUAGCCAAUGAAAAGGACUCAUCAGGGUUAACCAUGCAAUGUCAUGGCCAAUGCAAGUCAAUAAUUCCAAAGAAAUACUAUAGACGUCUACGGUAGACUAGCAUUCAUUGUUAAAUAAAAUUAUCUCAGUCAGUAAUCUGAUUUGUUAAAAUAUUUGGUUGACAUUCGCAAAACGUCAACUUUCCAGUUCUGGCUAUGCUUUUUUAAUCAGUUCCAGCCAAAACCGGAACACUUAAGGCUUUUGGAAAAAAUAAGGCUUUUGCCUGGAUUAACUAUGGGUAAUAAUACUCUUUCAGGACUUGAAGAAAUAUGGUCUGACAAACCAUUUUCUUUUUGGCAAGUCAAAUGAAUUAUGUGGCCUGCAAUUUCUGUUUUUCAAACUGCCAAAAUGGUCCAACUCAGCUAUGAAGGAAACAAAUGUAAAUUUUCCCCCUGACUUUUGUAUAUUUCAAUCAUUUAUGUAUUUGCCCUACCCCGGUGUUAAUGCUUUGAAGGUAAUUUAAGGAUACUAGCAUGUGAUAAACAACGGAAAUGAUAAAAACAAAUAAUGUAGGAUUUUGCCUAUGUAUGGCCUGCCUUUGUUCAUUGGCAGACUGCUAUUUCAAUCUGAGAGCUGCUCUUUCAAGUUUGUACACUACCGUAUCUCCAAAUCUUCUAGCUAUCAGAAGAAAAGGGUUAAAGAAAAUGGACUGUGAUGAAGCGUUACCUGUGAGAAUUGUCAUUGACUUGUCAUUUGAAGCGUACAUGGAUGAUAGUGUAAGUAACCUAAACUGGCUUAUCAUAAAUUUUAAGUUUUGAAAAAUUUCUGAAUUAAAACUUCAGCGUGGUAGCAGGGGGUGGGGGAGGAGCCAAGGCAACUCCCCCAACCCCAAAUAGAUGAUAUUUUCAGUAGGGUUUACUAGGGGUGCACCGGAACUCGGUUCCGGCCGGUUAGUUCCGGCCGGAACCCCGAUUUUUUAGAGUUCCGGUUCCGGCCGGAACUAGUAAAAAAAGCAUGGCCGGAACCGGAACUCUGUUGUUUUCAGAGAGAUAGAAUAUCAAACGUUUUUGUGUCUAACAAAAGGUCACAGUAGGAAGAAAUUUGGACUACGCAAGGGAAAUGUACACUACUAAC
RNAcentral lists this long non-coding RNA (1636 nucleotides) under Paramuricea clavata. The record is from RNAcentral. Lineage: Eukaryota; Metazoa; Cnidaria; Anthozoa; Malacalcyonacea; Plexauridae.